This 398-nucleotide unclassified non-coding RNA is filed under the name Hevea brasiliensis (rubber tree). Lineage: Eukaryota; Viridiplantae; Streptophyta; Magnoliopsida; Malpighiales; Euphorbiaceae. The record is from RNAcentral.
GAAAGAACUUGCACAAAGUUAACAAUUUACCUUUGAAGGAUUGAAGCUUGCAGCAGCAAUAGGUACUCCCAAAACUGCGAAAGUGACUAACCAAAGUCCCCCGAGACGUAGGAAGAAGGCCCCUGGACCCAGUUCUGCCCAAGAGUAUAAAGUUUCAUCUUUCAGAGAUGAGUACUCAUUCACCGGCCUUUGUUCAAAUGGCACCUCAAUUUCCAAGCCUGGGUCCCAACUACGACCACCUAAUCCACUGCCAUUCGUGCCACCGUUCAUCCCAUCUUUCAGGGCUUUAACUCGAAUGUUCCUCCGACAUACAAUCGUUGCUUUGUUCGAUAAAAUGAUCCACGAGCGGCAGCUUUUGUUGACUUCUAUCGGACUAGAAACUAUGGAGCCAUAUAAAU